RNAcentral lists this long non-coding RNA (676 nucleotides) under Phasianus colchicus (ring-necked pheasant). RNAcentral describes it as "lncRNA (ENSPCLG00000010921.1)". Lineage: Eukaryota; Metazoa; Chordata; Aves; Galliformes; Phasianidae. The record is from RNAcentral.
AGAUGAAGGAGUUCUGAGAAUGAUGGCACUUACAUCUAAGAAUGUGCUACACCAGCUUUUGGAUUCCCUCAAGAUCGCUUUAUUAGCAGGAGACAGACAGAGUCUUUUUACAACAUGUUGUGUUGGUGACUGGAUAGUUCUGGGGACUAAUGAGGAGAUAGAAAAUCACAGUGAACUCAGCAACCAUUUCAAAUCCAAGGUUUUUAGUGCCCUCUGGAAGGACAUCAACAAGAUUUAGACACAAGCAUAUCACUGCUGUAAUGAACACUGGCAAAAAUGGAGAAACUGGAACUGGAAAUGCAUUUGCAAUACUACUUUGGGAAUUGCUACCAUAAUUACACUCAUUUAGAUAACAGUACCUUUGUAAAUGCUUUUUCCUUGUCAUGGAACACAAUAGGGAUUAUAUUAUUUUAAUGACCUUGGUGACCAAAUUGUACAACUUUUAUCAUAGUAAAAAAUCUAGGAGAAAAUUUGGCUCAAUUGAGGCCAUAGAAAAACUCCUACUGACUUUGUUGGAGUGAACAUUUGGACAAAAUCCAUCCUAAUUUUCCAGGUGUGACUGGUUCUAUUCACAGGGAGCUUAUACUUUUGCCUCAUACUCUUAGCAUAUGACUAUGAGCAAAGUGAUAUUUUUUAUGCACAGAUUCUACAAACUCUGAAUUUUAUUUCAUAAAAG